RNAcentral lists this ribosomal RNA (576 nucleotides) under uncultured bacterium. RNAcentral describes it as "bacterial SSU rRNA". It matches the Rfam family "Bacterial small subunit ribosomal RNA", at positions 216 to 807 of the family's 1533-position model. The record is from RNAcentral.
CGGCGGGGGAUGGGGUCGCGGCCCAUCAGGUAGACGGCGGGGCAGAGGCCCACCGUGCCGACGACGGGUAGCCGGGUUGAGAGACCGACCGGCCACAUUGGGACUGAGAUACGGCCCAGACUCCUACGGGAGGCAGCAGUGGGGAAUUUUGCGCAAUGGGGGCAACCCUGACGCAGCAACGCCGCGUGCGGGACGAAGGCGUCCGCGUCGUAAACCGCUUUCAGCGGGGAACACUUAAACGAGGGUACCCGCAGAAGAAGCCCCGGCUAAAUACGUGCCAGCAGUCGCGGUAAUACGUAUGGGGCGAGCGUUAUCCGGAUUCAUUGGGCGUAAAGCGCGCGUAGGCGGAGCGCUAAGCGGGACCUCUAACCCGAGGGCUCAACCCCCGGCCGGGUCCCGAACUGGCGCUCUCGAGUGCGGUAGGGGAGAGCGGAAUUCCCGGUGUAGCGGUGGAAUGCGCAGAUAUCGGGAAGAACACCGACGGCGAAGGCAGCUCUCUGGGCCGAAACUGACGCUGAGGCGCGAAAGCUGGGGGAGCGAACAGGAUUAGAUACCCUGGUAGUCCCAGCCGUAAAC